RNAcentral lists this ribosomal RNA (305 nucleotides) under uncultured bacterium. RNAcentral describes it as "partial 16S ribosomal RNA". It matches the Rfam family "Bacterial small subunit ribosomal RNA", at positions 506 to 809 of the family's 1533-position model. The record is from RNAcentral.
ACAGCAGCAGCCACGGGAAUACGGAGGGAGCUAGCGUUGUUCGGAAUUACUGGGCGUAAAGCGCGCGUAGGCGGUUACUCAAGUCAGAGGUGAAAGCCCGGGGCUCAACCCCGGAACUGCCUUUGAAACUAGGUGACUAGAAUCUUGGAGGGGUCAGUGGAAUUCCGAGUGUAGAGGUGAAAUUCGUAGAUAUUCGGAAGAACACCAGUGGCGAAGGCGACUGACUGGACAAGUAUUGACGCUGAGGUGCGAAAGCGUGGGGAGCAAACAGGAUUAGAUACCCCUGUAGUCCCUGUCUCUUAUAA